RNAcentral lists this ribosomal RNA (821 nucleotides) under uncultured cyanobacterium. RNAcentral describes it as "bacterial SSU rRNA". It matches the Rfam family "Bacterial small subunit ribosomal RNA", at positions 34 to 900 of the family's 1533-position model. Lineage: Bacteria; Bacillati; Cyanobacteriota. The record is from RNAcentral.
CGCUGGCGGUAUGCUUACACAUGCAAGUCGAACGGUCUCUUCGGAGAUAGUGGCGGACGGGUGAGUAACGCGUGAGAAUCUGCCUUCAGGUCUGGGACAACCAUUGGAAACGGUGGCUAAUACCGGAUGAGCAGAGAUGUAAAAGAUUAAUUGCCUGAAGAUGAGCUCGCGUCUGAUUAGCUAGUUGGUGGGGUAAGAGCCUACCAAGGCGACGAUCAGUAGCUGGUCUGAGAGGAUGAUCAGCCACACUGGGACUGAGACACGGCCCAGACUCCUACGGGAGGCAGCAGUGGGGAAUUUUCCGCAAUGGGCGAAAGCCUGACGGAGCAAUACCGCGUGAGGGAGGAAGGCUCUUGGGUCGUAAACCUCUUUUCUCAGGGAAGAAAAAAAUGACGGUACCUGAGGAAUAAGCAUCGGCUAACUCCGUGCCAGCAGCCGCGGUAAUACGGAGGAUGCAAGCGUUAUCCGGAAUGAUUGGGCGUAAAGCGUCCGCAGGUGGCUAUGUAAGUCUGCUGUUAAAGAGUCUAGCUCAACUAGAUAAAAGCAGUGGAAACUACAUGGCUAGAGUGCGUUCGGGGCAGAGGGAAUUCCUGGUGUAGCGGUGAAAUGCGUAGAGAUCAGGAAGAACACCGGUGGCGAAAGCGCUCUGCUAGGCCGCAACUGACACUGAGGGACGAAAGCUAGGGGAGCGAAUGGGAUUAGAUACCCCAGUAGUCCUAGCCGUAACGAUGGAUACUAGGCGUGGCUUGUAUCGACCCGAGCCGUGCCGUAGCUAACGCGUUAAGUAUCCCGCCUGGGGAGUACGCACGCAAGUGUGAAAC